ACUGGCUCUGGGUAGGCAAAGCCGGGAGAAACUGCUGAGAUGAGUCUCAGAUGGAAGGACACCUUUCAGUGGCCCUGAGCUCUGGGGUCCCCACCACCACCAAGACAUCUUCAGAUGGGGGACGCCGGUCUUGGCAACGGGCCGCAAGCUUUCUACAAGAAAUUCACGUUCCUCUGUGGCUGAUUUCCAAUAUGCUCCCCUGAAAACCUGCAAACAAGAGCCUGCACAUCAUCCUCAAGGACAGCUUUCGCUGAGAACUUGGUCUGAAGAGCAUCCAGCGAGGACCUGGGAUGUGCGCACGGUUGGCCCCGCCCCAUUGUCCUUUGCUUCCUGGGGCAGGCUGAGGCGGCCCAGCGCUGCCGCCCAUGGGGGCUGUCCCUACACCCCAGCACCCCAGGACCGGCAGGGCUGGGAGGGGGCUGGGAGGCCCCCACCUCGUUUUAAAGAAAAUAUGGGAAAGCAGGUGCCGCUGCUGAACAAAGAAAUGGAGACACUUGCCCUCUCUUCGGUAACUCAAAGUUCUAAAUGAAUUCCUCUUGCUCUCUACACUCCCUCCAGAAAAGUCCCUCCUGCUGUUAUUUGCCCCAAGGCCCAUGUUUGUCCAACAAGCAAACUGCAUUUGGGAAGCCUUUCACAUUUUAGGUUAAUCAGGUGCAACAAGGAUGCCUGUUCAAAUCCCAUCAUUUCCGCUCCCCCCCCGCCCCGCCCCCGGAGAGUCUGAAUGACUCUGUCCAAACAUCUGUCUGAACAUGGUGGGUUGAUAGAAUCCCACCCAAAGUGAAGAAACGGGAUGGUGCGUGUGUAGCUCGCAGUGGCCUGGUCAUCAGUAAAGCCAUGGUGACCAUGGGAAAUUGCAAGAAGCUGUAAACAGCAUGGAGCGCCCCCGCAGACAGCUUUUGAGGGCCCCCCAGGGAACCCAGUUUGGGAACCGUGGGGCUAAGCCAGCUAGGAUGGAGGCGUAACUCUUUGACAAUCCCACAGCCACUCCCACUUCCCCAUGGAGGGAGUCCUCACGCAGCAGAGCAUGGUGACUCUGCUGGUAUUUGGCUGUGUGAUGUUGGGUAGAUGGCUUUCCCUCUCUGAGUUUCUGGAUCUCACUGCCUCCCUCCUGGGUUGUGAGUGGUCCAUAAGGCCUGGGUGUCUUUACUGUUGUCAUAACCUCUUGUUCGGGUCUCCUGACUUCCCACCCCUCAUGCCCUGACCAUGUCACUGGAUAUCUGUGACGAAAGCGGGUGCAGAGGGGUAGAAGUCACCUGGAGCCCUUCUGAGAAGCCAUCUGUGAUGGGAUAGAGAGCCUGGAAGGGGAGGGAGGAGCCCAGGAGCGGGCAGGCUGGGGGCACCUGGACAUGGUAGUUCUGGGAAGCAUCUGAGCACUCCCCAAUUUUAAUAUGCCCCAGAUCACCUGGGGAUCUUGUACGAAUGCAGGUUCGGAUGCAGCAGGCCUGGGCAGGGGCUCCCAGGUGAGGCAGCUGCUGGGGCUGCACUCUGGCCCAAGGAGGAGGCCAGGCCACUGGUAUCCGGGAGAGAUGGCUCCAGAAAGGCCUGAGAGCCCCAGAAUGUCCAUGCCUGGAAAGACAAUGCAACAUGAGGGUAAAAUUAUGUUUUCAACAAAAGAAAAGCCCUCUGCCUCCUAACAUGUAGAAAGAUCUCUCUUCCCACCCCCACGCAGCCCCAGGGGCCCGAAAGAAUGCGGUUUUCUCAGCACAGCUUCCCUCGCUGAAGGGGGUGGAUUCGCUUUUAAAAAGUUGCCUGUAAAAUGAAUUUUUCUAUAUCAAAUGCUAUUUUCCAGCAGUUCGUGUUUUAAGACCAGGGUAGCAUUCCCACUGAGAAAUCUCCAACUCUGAGGCCUUGGCAUUGAGGAUUCGACCCUUGCCCACUUGAGGGGUGGGGAGGGCACAGCAGGCCCACGUGCCGGGGGGGCUACGGAACCCAGGAGAGCUGGCGUGCAGAGUUUGGGAACUAAAUCUGAGCCCUAAAUGGUCCCCUCAUGGUCUGAGGUCCAUGGCCAGACACCGGCCUGGCACCCCUGACCAAUACCACAGAGUGUUAGGCUGGUGGGACCGGCGGGACCCAGGGCAAACCAGCCCCUCAACUGGGAAAGGGGCCCGGACAGGCUGUCUGUCAUGGCACGCCGGCCACCAUGUCUUUGUGUAGAAUACCAUAGGCCACACUCUGAAUGUCAGGCUGGGGGUGUUUUGUUUUUACACUGGGCACAAUCCUUUAAUGUACUCAAGGAACUUGCUGUCGUGACAAUUCGGCUGUGUUUCCCAAAGAGCGCUCUGAAGCUCUGAGGCCAGAGUUCCACAAAGACUCCUGAGAAAUGCAGGGUUAGGAGAAGGCUAGGUCAGAGGGGUCUGCUGGGAUAUGCCAAGGAGCACUGGGAAUCUCAAAUAAGAGACUCAAGUCAUGGUCUGCCCACAAUGGACAGACGGUGCUUUUCCGGAGCCUAGUCUGGGAUCAGUACUCCAUAGAGCACACUGCGGGAAGCAAGUCAAUGAAAGGCUCUCAUAACUAACAAGUCUCCCAGUUCCUGUAUUAGUUACCUACAGCUGCAUAACAAAUCACCCCAAACUUAGGGGCUGAAGACCAUAAGCAUUUAUUCUCAAAGUUUCUGUGGGUAAGGCAUUGAGAAGUGGGUUAGCCAGAUGAUUCCGGCUCGUGGUCACUUUUGAGGUGGCUGCCAAGGUGUUGGUGGGGGCUGCAUCAUCUGACAGCUUGACCGGGGCUGGACAAUGGGCUCCUAAGAUGGCAAGGUGGAGAGCUCAGUUCCUUGCCAUAGUUCCUUCCCUGUAGGGUUGCUUGAGUGCCCUUACAACAUGGUGGCUGGCUUCCCCCAGGCUGAGCGACCCCAGAGAGCAAGACUGAAGCCAUGGCGCCUUUUAGGACCUAACCUUGGGUCAUUUCUGCUGCAUCCUGUUGGUCACACAGGGCAGCCCUAUUCGCCGUGGGAAGGGCCUACGGAGGUGUGAACAGCAGGAGGUAGGAAUCGUCUGGUGACCAUCUUGAAGGCUGACUGCCCAGUCGCCAUCACUUCAGUACAAGAAGGCCAGGAAGCAUGUCUCCUUCACACAGUUGGGGUCUUACCAUUGAGUGCCGAUUAGUGACUCUGACAGGUGAACCUGCUAACCUGUGAUCUAGGGAAGGGAAGAGCACAGCAACCAACCAACACAGCAACAGCUCCGUAUUCAUCCAGCCCCAUUUCUUGAGCGUUCUCCGUGUGCUGGGCGUGUCAUGGGCAUCAUGGCACUGUGCAAUCCUUGUCCCCAAGUGGUAGGUGCCACUAGUGUCCCCAGAUUAGGCCACUCCUUCCUAUGAUGUGCCUAAAAUGAGAUGAUUUUGUGAUGAGGGCUAUAGUAACACAAGCGGGUCUACCUUCUGGAAGUUCAGAGACCCCGGUGAACCCAUGUGGAGAAGAGUGGACAGUAAACUUAGGAUGGAUAAAUGGAUAAUAAAGAGGUGAGAUAAA
This is a long non-coding RNA of Leptonychotes weddellii (Weddell seal), 3466 nucleotides long. RefSeq lists it as uncharacterized. Lineage: Eukaryota; Metazoa; Chordata; Mammalia; Carnivora; Phocidae. The record is from RefSeq and is a predicted model, not a curated record.